Molecule: ribosomal RNA, 464 nt
Filed under: uncultured bacterium
Lineage: Bacteria
Description: partial 16S ribosomal RNA
Rfam family: Bacterial small subunit ribosomal RNA
Source: RNAcentral
GACGAACGCUGGCGGCGUGCUUAACACAUGCAAGUCGAACGGUAAGGCCCCAGCUUGCUGGGGUACACGAGUGGCGAACGGGUGAGUAACACGUGGGUGACCUGCCCCGCACUUCGGGAUAAGCCUGGGAAACUGGGUCUAAUACCGGAUAGGACCGCACCGUGAGGGGGUGGUGGAAAGUUUUUCGGUGUGGGAUGGGCCCGCGGCCUAUCAGCUUGUUGGUGGGGUAAUGGCCUACCAAGGCGGCGACGGGUAGCCGGCCUGAGAGGGUGGACGGCCACAUUGGGACUGAGACACGGCCCAGACUCCUACGGGAGGCAGCAGUGGGGAAUAUUGCACAAUGGGCGGAAGCCUGAUGCAGCGACGCCGCGUGGGGGAUGACGGCCUUCGGGUUGUAAACUCCUUUCACCAUCGACGAAGGUUUUCUGACGGUAGAUGGAGAAGAAGCACCGGCUAACUACGUG